UACGAAGGGGGCUAGCGUUGCUCGGAAUCACUGGGCGUAAAGGGUGCGUAGGCGGAUUGCUAAGUCAGGGGUGAAAUCCUGGAGCUCAACUCCAGAACUGCCUUUGAUACUGGCAACCUUGAGUCCGGGAGAGGUGAGUGGAACUGCGAGUGUAGAGGUGAAAUUCGUAGAUAUUCGCAAGAACACCAGUGGCGAAGGCGGCUCACUGGCCCGGUACUGACGCUGAGGUGCGAAAGCGUGGGGAGCAAACAGG
Molecule: ribosomal RNA, 253 nt
Filed under: uncultured bacterium
Lineage: Bacteria
Description: partial 16S ribosomal RNA
Rfam family: Bacterial small subunit ribosomal RNA
Source: RNAcentral